This 115-nucleotide ribosomal RNA is filed under the name uncultured eukaryote. RNAcentral describes it as "partial small subunit ribosomal RNA". It matches the Rfam family "Bacterial small subunit ribosomal RNA", at positions 1411 to 1525 of the family's 1533-position model. The record is from RNAcentral.
UUGGCUUUACCCGAAGGCGUUUCGCUAACCGCAAGGAGGCAGCCAACCACGGUCAGGUCAGCGACUGGGGUGAAGUCGUAACAAGGUAGCCGUAGGUGAACCUGCAGAAGGAUCA